This 460-nucleotide ribosomal RNA is filed under the name uncultured bacterium. Its description in RNAcentral is "partial 16S ribosomal RNA". It matches the Rfam family "Bacterial small subunit ribosomal RNA", at positions 338 to 795 of the family's 1533-position model. The record is from RNAcentral.
CCUACGGGUGGCAGCAGUGAGGAAUAUUGGUCAAUGGGCGUAAGCCUGAACCAGCCAAGUCGCGUGAGGGAUGAAGGUUCUAUGGAUCGUAAACCUCUUUUAUAAGGGAAUAAAGUGUGGGACGUGUCCUAUUUUGUAUGUACCUUAUGAAUAAGGAUCGGCUAACUCCGUGCCAGCAGCCGCGGUAAUACGGAGGAUCCGAGCGUUAUCCGGAUUUAUUGGGUUUAAAGGGUGCGUAGGCGGCCUUUUAAGUCAGCGGUGAAAGUCUGGGGCUCAACCGUAGUAUCGCCGUUGAAACUGGGGGGCUUGAGUAUGUGUGAGGCACGCGGAAUGCGUGGUGUAGCGGUGAAAUGCUUAGAUAUCACGCAGAACCCCGAUUGCGAAGGCAGCCUGCCAGGCCAUGACUGACGCUGAUGCACGAAAGCGUGGGGAUCAAACAGGAUUAGAUACCCCAGUAGUC